CGUGUAGGCGGCUUCGCAAGUUGGGUGUGAAAGCCCUCGGCUUAACCGAGGAAGUGCGCCCAAAACUACGAGGCUUGAGUGCCGGAGAGGGUGGCGGAAUUCCCGGUGUAGAGGUGAAAUUCGUAGAUAUCGGGAGGAACACCAGCGGCGAAGGCGGCCACCUGGACGGUAACUGACGCUGAGACGCGAAAGCGUGGGGAGCAAACA
RNAcentral lists this ribosomal RNA (207 nucleotides) under uncultured delta proteobacterium. RNAcentral describes it as "partial 16S ribosomal RNA". It matches the Rfam family "Bacterial small subunit ribosomal RNA", at positions 568 to 774 of the family's 1533-position model. The record is from RNAcentral. Lineage: Bacteria; Deltaproteobacteria.